UACGGUAGGGUGCGAGCGUUUGUCCGGAAUUAUUGGGCGUAAAGAGCUUGUAGGCGGUUUGUCGCGUCUGCCCGUGAAAAUCCGGGGCUCAACCCCGGACUUGCGGUGGGUACGGGCAGACUAGAGUGUGGUAGGGGAGACUGGAAUUCCUGGUGUAGCGGUGAAAUGCGCAGAUAUCGGGAGGAACACCGGUGGCGAAGGCGGUUCUCUGGGCCUUACCUGACGCUGAGGAGCGAAAGCGUGGGGAGCGAACAGG
Molecule: ribosomal RNA, 256 nt
Filed under: uncultured bacterium
Lineage: Bacteria
Description: partial 16S ribosomal RNA
Rfam family: Bacterial small subunit ribosomal RNA
Source: RNAcentral